This 749-nucleotide long non-coding RNA is filed under the name Pogona vitticeps (central bearded dragon). RNAcentral describes it as "lncRNA (ENSPVIG00000017246.1)". The record is from RNAcentral. Lineage: Eukaryota; Metazoa; Chordata; Lepidosauria; Squamata; Agamidae.
CUGAGGUCACAUAAAUCCGUCUGACUCUGUCUGCAUGUUCAGCCACGCUGGUCCGUUCUGGCUUCCUUCCCUGGAGAGAGAGCUGCCUUCAGCCGUUACCAAUGGCCGCCCAAAGAUCCAGCCCGGAGGAUCCGUCCGGUCUCCAGCACGGGCCGUUCCAGACACCGACCGAGAGGGCCCGGCUGGCGGCCGCCGUGCAUCAGGUUUUUGGGGGGCAACCGUGGGGCGGCUGCUGCUCAGACGUUCUCUCGGAGGUCCUGCCGGAAGCAGGGCAAAGGUGCUCUCUGAAGCUGCAGCUUUUCUGGGACUUCCAGCUUCUGGACUCUGACCACGACGGCUACCUCUCCUCCCGAGAGGCUGAGCUUUUGCUGGCCCAGGUUCCGGGGGCACAGGCCACGGGAGAGGCCGGGCAACGGUUCCUCCAGAGCCGCAGGCCUGGCGUGGCCUGGAGGGACAUCGAGGACUGGCUCUCCCGGGGUCCCCCGCUGCCUCCCGAUGGAGCCGGCACACAUUCAAGGAGGAGUUACUACAGCGGGCAGGGUGCUGGUAGCCAGGUGAGCACCCCUCUGCCUCUCUGGGGUGCAAGAAGACAGACGGAACCACUCCUUGAACGGUGGGACCCGGGAGGUUUCGCCGCCCCGCUUGGGGAGCAGUUUUCGGGAACGGUGGCAGAGCUGGAACGCAAAUACCGUGUGCUUCGGAGGAGGCUCUGCGCCGAGAUGUUGCAGGCGCAUUAUGGUGAGCUGUGA